GAUGAACGCUGGCGGCGUGCUUAACACAUGCAAGUCGAACGGAAAGGCCCAAGCUUGCUUGGGUACUCGAGUGGCGAACGGGUGAGUAACACGUGGGUGAUCUGCCCUGCACUUCGGGAUAAGCCUGGGUAACUGGGUCUAAUACUGGAUAGGACCACUUCUUGGAUGUUGUGGUGGAAAGUUUUUUCGGUGUGGGAUGAGCUCGCGGCCUAUCAGCUUGUUGGUGGGGUAAUGGCCUACCAAGGCGUCGACGGGUAGCCGGCCUGAGAGGGUGUACGGCCACAUUGGGAAUGAGAGACGGCCCAGACUGCUACGGGAGGAAGAAGUGGGGAAUAUUGCACAAUGGGCGCAAGCCUGAUGCAGCGAGGCCGCGUGGGGGAUGACGGCCUUGGGGUUGAAAAAACAUUUCGCUAGGGACGAAGCGUUUUGUGACGGUACCUGGAGAAGAAGCACCGGCUAACUACGUG
This 467-nucleotide ribosomal RNA is filed under the name uncultured bacterium. RNAcentral describes it as "partial 16S ribosomal RNA". It matches the Rfam family "Bacterial small subunit ribosomal RNA", at positions 28 to 507 of the family's 1533-position model. The record is from RNAcentral.